AAAAGAAGAUAUUUUGAAAAAUGUUGGAAAACUGUAACCAUUGACCUCCAUAGUAUUUGUUUUUUCUGCUAUGGAAGUAAAUGGUUACAGGUUUU
This 95-nucleotide microRNA precursor is filed under the name Danio rerio (zebrafish). Its description in RNAcentral is "miRNA (ENSDARG00000108067.2)". Lineage: Eukaryota; Metazoa; Chordata; Actinopteri; Cypriniformes; Danionidae. The record is from RNAcentral.